RNAcentral lists this ribosomal RNA (253 nucleotides) under uncultured bacterium. RNAcentral describes it as "partial 16S ribosomal RNA". It matches the Rfam family "Bacterial small subunit ribosomal RNA", at positions 524 to 776 of the family's 1533-position model. The record is from RNAcentral.
UACGUAGGGGGCAAGCGUUGUCCGGAAUUAUUGGGCGUAAAGAGCGCGUAGGCGGUCCGAUAAGUCGGCUGUGAAAGUCAUGGGCUCAACCCAUGAAAGCCGGCCGAUACUGUCGGACUAGAGUCCGGAAGAGGCAAGUGGAAUUCCCGGUGUAGCGGUGAAAUGUGCAGAUAUCGGGAGGAACACCAAUGGCGAAGGCAGCUUGCUGGGACGGUACUGACGCUGAGGCGCGAAAGCGUGGGGAGCAAACAGG